GAGUUUGAUCUUGGCUCAGAUUGAACGCUGGCGGCAGGCCUAACACAUGCAAGUCGAACGGUAGCACAGAGAGCUUGCUCUCGGGUGACGAGUGGCGGACGGGUGAGUAAUGUCUGGGAAACUGCCUGAUGGAGGGGGAUAACUACUGGAAACGGUAGCUAAUACCGCAUAACGUCGCAAGACCAAAGAGGGGACCUUCGGGCCUCUUGCCAUCAGAUGUGCCCAGAUGGGAUUAGCUAGUAGGUGGGGUAAUGGCUCACCUAGGCGACGAUCCCUAGCUGGUCUGAGAGGAUGACCAGCCACACUGGAACUGAGACACGGUCCAGACUCCUACGGGAGGCAGCAGUGGGAAUAUUGCACAAUGGGCGCAAGCCUGAUGCAGCCAUGCCGCGUGUAUGAAGAAGGCC
RNAcentral lists this ribosomal RNA (407 nucleotides) under bacterium enrichment culture clone ALO1_GLFRUDD03G09D5. Its description in RNAcentral is "bacterial SSU rRNA". It matches the Rfam family "Bacterial small subunit ribosomal RNA", at positions 9 to 416 of the family's 1533-position model. The record is from RNAcentral.